Long non-coding RNA from Triticum urartu, 3835 nucleotides. RefSeq lists it as uncharacterized. Lineage: Eukaryota; Viridiplantae; Streptophyta; Magnoliopsida; Poales; Poaceae. The record is from RefSeq and is a predicted model, not a curated record.
CCUUGGCCACCGCCCUCCCCACAUGGAUGGGAUCCCCCGCCUCCAAUUCCUCCUCCUCCUCCCCCAAUGGCGGCGCCCACCUCUCGCCACCGUCCCCCCUCUCCGUCCUCACACGCGCCGCCCACCUCAGACCGCUCUCCCCUCUCAGACCCAUCCUCCCUCCGCUCCUCUCCGCCCAAUGUUCGAGCAGCCGCCCUGAUUAAGCGCGCCCGCAAAGGCCUACGUAGGCCGGCCGCGUUGCAGCCUCCCAGCCGCAGAGGGUCCAAGAUGGGUCUGUUCGCGUAUAGCACCCUGUUGAUCCACCUGAGCAGGCUCAACACGACGGCCACGGUCAUGGACAGGCACCACCAGCAGCUUAGAGAGGGUUUGAAGCCAAAUUUACGCCGUGAUUCAAUGCAUUGUGCAAGGAUGGAACAAUGGCUUGGAUUCUGCACUUGAGGUUUUCAAUCGAAUGGAUAAAGAGGGGCGUGAGCCAAACGCCGCGACAUACUCAACCCUGAUCAAUUCGCUGUGCGAUAGUAGGAAGGUGAACGAGACACUGGAUUUGAUUAGCAAAAUGACACGGUGUGGUGUUUUGCUGUCCCUAUUGCUGCGUUGUGUGGCAUGGGGCGCAUUCAAGAUGCCUGGAAGCUGUUUGUUUAUAUGAAAAAGAAGGGAUGCUGACCAACUGUGUGUACGACUAUACGUACAGUCACUUAUAAGUGAGCAGCUUUUGUCAAGGAUGUCCAUUGGACUAUUUCAUAGGUUGGCAAAGAGAUGGAGUGCUCCCUAAUAUGGUGACAUAAUGCUUUGAUGAAUGUUCUGGUGGAGGAAGGAUAGAAAAAUGGAUUCUGCACGUACUGUUUGUAAUGUGAUGCAGAGACAUGGUUGUUUACCAGACACCGUGACAUACAAUGUAUUGAUCAAGGGCUAUUGCACAAUUGGUAAUACUGAUAAGUCAAUGUCCAUGCUGAUCAAUAUGUUUGAGGGCAGAGCUACAGCUACACUUCUGACACACAACACCAUCAUCAAAGGAUACUGUGACUCAGGGAAUACUGCUGCUGAUGAUGAUGAGUGGUCUUAUACUCAACUGAUCUUUGGCUUUUCCAAGAUGGGUGAAAUGGAAUCAGCUUAUCAAAUGUUCAAUGAAAUGAGGGACCAUGGGUUUUGCCCAAAUGAAGUUACCUACACUGCACCCAUAAGUGGAUACUGCAAGGACGAGAAACUGGAAUGUGCAACAAGAAUGUUUGAACACAUGAAAAUAAGUGGUCGCAGACCAACUGUGCAGACUUGCAAUGUUUUAAUCCAUGGUCUAACUAAGCAUAAUAUUUUUUCUGCUGUAGAGGAACUAUUAAUAGUGAUGCUUGAAGAAAAUAUAUCACCAAAUGUAGUCACUUACACUACUAUAAUUGAUGGGUUAUGCAAAAAUGGGGCCGCAUCUUUGGCCCUUGAAAUGUUCAACAGGAUGGUUGAGCAUAACUGCUCACCUAAUUUGCAUAUUUACAGUUCUCUUAUCCAAGCUCUGGGUCAAGAAGGCAAGGUAGAGGAAGCUGAGGAAUUGUUUACAGAAUUGUGAAGCGACGGCUUAGUCCAGAUGAAGUCGCUUAUGCUAAGAUGAUCAAAGUUUAUGUAAUGUCAGGCAACGCAGAUCGUGCCUUGGAUUUUCUGUGGAAAAUGAUAACUGCUGGAUGCCGACCAACCUUGUGGAUAUGGUAUUUUAAUUGAAGGCUUGCAAAAUGAAUACCUGAUGGUGGACCAGAAACUUGUAGCCUUUCCUGAUGUAGUCUCAGACUGCAACUUUGAUUACCAAAUACUAAUUAACAAAGAUACCAUUUCAGUCUUGUCUUCUAAAUUAGCAGAACUGGAUCUUAGACUAUCUCAACAGUUGCACGAUGCAUUGUUGUCUGGAUUAAGCAGAAGUCAGAGAUGGUUUAAGGCAGUGAAGCUGUACAGACACAUGGUUGGUCAGGGUUUAUGCCCAAACCAGGAGGCAUAUAAUUGUUAUUUCACUUUUGAGAGCCCUGAAAGUUGACCUAGCUAUGGAUGUAUUCAGACAUGUGUCUGCUCAGUGUCGUGAACUCCACCUUGUUUGUUAUAAAGAACUAAUAUGUGCUUUAUGCCAACUUCAUAGAAGAAAUGAAGCCCAAUUUGGUAAUCGAGGAAUUUUAAUUCUGAUGACAUUGUAUGGACUGUUCUCAUCAAUGGACUGAUUGGGGCUGGAUACGAAGACUUGUGCAUGGAGUUUCUGCACAUCAUGGAAAAAAAUCAUCAUAAGCCUAGCUUCCGUAUGUGCACAAUUUUAGCAAGGGAAGCAUUGAAAGAGUAGCCAUAGAAUCAGCUGGACUUGAUGCACUGCAGCAAUUUGGGAUUUUCUUCUGAUGCCUGAUGUGCCAGAGCUGUUAAUCUGGAGUGAGUUAGAUGGCUAGAGGGACUUUUCGUUGUUUUGCUACUUGGUCUUCCUUGAUCCUUGUUAUCUAUUCCCAAGGCUUCCGCAUUGUGCUACCCGUGAGAAGUGAGAUCAAAGAAUGCCUAUGUGCAGCAAGUUUCAUAUCCAGUUUAGAUGUUACACGCUGAACAUUCCCAUCAUUUUGCACUCUACACUGAUUACCAACCUCCAUUUCAAACCUCAGGAUUCCUAGGGAUUGUCAGAAAUGGGAACCAGAGUUGGAAGACCCAAAAGAUCAAUUCCGUGAAUACUUCCUGGUUGCCCUUUAAUUGGAAAGUGGUGCAAGAUGCAUCAGGUGCUACACCUCUUACACUGUCCGCAUUUUGCAUAGGCAUAAAAAAGAGCUGUUUGCCCUGCCAUAAACUCAAACUGAAAACAUAUGCACAGGGUAAAGCUGUUACCAAUUUCCUGGACUCUAUUUGGACAAGUCCCUUGCGAGUUGCGAGCAUGGUUGCCUUGCUCGCUGCUCGUGGGCAUGGGAAAUCAGCCACCCUUGGUCUUGCUAUUGCUAGAGCCAUUGCAGGUGGUAAGCUCAACCAGAUGAGCCUCCCCAUAUGAGCAUGCCUUGUUGGGAUUUAGCUUCUACUUAGGCCAAAGGGGCGGUCCACGGCGCUCCUAUGCAAGCCAACACGAUGGAAAGCAGCACGCAGGCCCUCUGAACUGGGCCGCAUAAAUGUAUGAAUGCAGCAGGCACAACAUGUCAGCAAUUUGGGGCCUCCUUGGGGUUCAACGAUGGCCACCCCCGCAGCUCGAGGACGAGCUGCUAAAAUGAGCGGUGUAAUGUCAGAGGUGUAGAUCUCUCCCUUAGUCCAUUGGAGAUGAUAAGUAAGAUAUCUAUCUAGUCAGGGAAGAUGUUGAUUCAGUUAGGAAGAUAUAAAUAUGGUUUAUUAGGACAGUCAAGAUUCUAUUCUUAGGCAUAAAGUAAGACUUUCCUAUUAAAGGGACACCAUGUACCCAUAAGGAUUAUUGAAUAGAUGAGAAUAAACUACUCCCUCCAGGGGCGAAUCUACUGUACAGGCUUUAACAGGCUUGAGCCUGUCCUCCAACCGGAUCAAUUAGGCCUUUACUGCUCAUGGUACAGGGCUUAACCCAGUAAAUCGACUGCAUUUUGGCCCAUCUCAGUGCCUCUCGCUUGUUUGAGCCUGCCCUACAAUUAAGUUCUAGAUUCGCUGCUGACUCCCUCUGUUCACUUUUAUAAGACCUUGAAGACAUUUCAGACAAUGUGCCAAACAGCCUAUUUUGAGUUGUUCGAAACAACUUACAAAUCCUCGUCCGGAACCUUCUCUCCCUCUUAUCCCCGGCACCAUGGCUGGCCAACCUUCGCUCCUCGGAGCUGUAACCCCAACCGUGUCACAUUCAUCGGUCUUAGGACCGGUUCCAGUCCUAGCACAUGACAAUCUGAUACUCUAU